UACGUAGGGUGCAAGCGUUGUCCGGAAUUAUUGGGCGUAAAGAGCUCGUAGGCGGUCUGUCGCGUCUGCUGUGAAAACUCAGGGCUUAACCCUGAGCUUGCAGUGGGUACGGGCAGACUAGAGUGCGGUAGGGGAGACUGGAAUUCCUGGUGUAGCGGUGAAAUGCGCAGAUAUCAGGAGGAACACCGGUGGCGAAGGCGGCUCUCUGGGACGGUACUGACGCUGAGACGCGAAAGCGUGGGGAGCAAACAGG
RNAcentral lists this ribosomal RNA (253 nucleotides) under uncultured bacterium. RNAcentral describes it as "partial 16S ribosomal RNA". It matches the Rfam family "Bacterial small subunit ribosomal RNA", at positions 524 to 776 of the family's 1533-position model. The record is from RNAcentral.